Molecule: long non-coding RNA, 3926 nt
Filed under: Capsicum annuum
Lineage: Eukaryota; Viridiplantae; Streptophyta; Magnoliopsida; Solanales; Solanaceae
Description: long non-coding RNA (CANN_LNC009221)
Source: RNAcentral
AGCAAAUACGUACAAUAACAUCGACAAACAACAAAACAACAGCCUCCAACAUCGAAUCACUGAACAACAUCAGUAACGACCAGUUCUAGUGGAAACCCGUCCAUGACAACCUGAUUACCCGAUGAAAAAUUGACCCAUCCCAGACCCGCGAACCCAAUAAACCCGAAUCUGGGUCCGACCCGCGAAUUCAAUCCGUUUCUUCAAUGAAAUUUCUAGAAAUUGGACACCUAGCGUACCAUAAAAGCUAAUUGCGCGAAUCUCGGUCACGAUGGUACUAUUCCAUACAUAUUUGGUGGAUUUCUAUUGGUUCUUAAGGGAAUUUGUUUUGCAAAAAUUCUAUUGGCCAACCCCCCAUUGAAUUCCCUAAAAAAAAAAACAAAAUCGGUACAAUUUUGUUAGAGGAAUCUGAUCUGGAGUUCAAAUUUUGAAUUCCUUUUUGAGGAAUUCCCUAAUUUACCCCUGAAUGACUUUAUCCCACAUCAGUGGAGCAACUUUUGAAGGGGGUUUUCUCUGCUCUCUCUCUAUAUCUCUUUAGAGCAAGAAAAGGGAUUUUUUUUUGGGGGGGGGGGGGGUGAUAUUUUUUGGAGGAUAUUUUUCUGAAGGGAGAAGCAAAAAACAAGAGAGAAAAGUCUCAAAUAGGGAAAGGGGAAAAAGGUUCGCGCAAAAGAAAAGAAGAUACAGUCUUCUAGUAUAAAUUUGAGCAAAAAAUUAUCUGUUUUUUCUUUUUCUCUCCGAAAAAUUGGUCGGAAAUUGGAAUUGUUGAACCGAAGACGACCUAUUUUUGGCGGUGAUUGAAUCCAAAAAGUUCAAAGUUCCGUUUUGCUGCUCCAAAACAGGUAAUAAUCUCCCUUUUAGUUUUGGCAUUCCUUUCUUAGUCGUUCGAUAGUCGUAUUAGCAUUUAUAAUAGCGUCCUGGGAUUGUUUGGCUGUAGAAGGCCUUAAAGGCUAUAGGUUUAUUUUUAGGAAGUUCUGUUUGAACAAAUUGAUUCACGGUUUAUCUCUAUAAUGCUUGCUUUACUUUUCUUUGGAAGCUCAUUAUAUCAUCGUAACUUUUGUAUGUUAAUCCCCAACAUAUCGUUCUGCAUUUAAUUGUUUUGCUCUGGGUUUAAUGUUCUCGUUCAUCUGAAUGUUCUCUGCUUUAAAUGUUUAAUAAAUGAUAUUUGUAUAAGUGUUAUUUUAGUCCUUCUUCCUGUUAUGAGUUCGAUUCUACAUUACUUGUUGCAUAUAGUUCAUGACCUGGGUUUAAUAUGGAUUGCCUCCCCGAUCAUCUUUGGCCUACUAAGUCGAUAGGAACAGUAGGUGUAUGUCCAUGGUAAAACAUCAGUUUUGGUCUAGUUUUAUGGUUAUAAGGGAUAGGAUGCAAUGAAUUCGUGUGUUUUCUGCAUGUGGUCUACUUCUAUGGUUGUGGGAAAUGUUCUUUAGGUUCAUCUCAUUUCAGAACCAUUUUCUAUGUUAGAUGAAAGCUGCUCCCGAAACUUCUUUGACUCUUAAUGUCAAGAAAAAGAUUUGGGUUACGUCUCAUUUAAGUUUCAAUUGAUAUUAAGAUCCCUCUACGAUAUGUUUGAUAUAAUACUCUCGAGAACUCACCAAAGAGGAAGGAGAAUGAUUUCUAUGUGUCUUCUUUCAACUUUUGGUCAUGUUUUUACUCGGAUUUUCCCUUAUAGAAUUUGAUUAACUCUAGAAUCAUUUCAACAAGGUACAAUCCCUAUGUGAUAAGUAUGAUUAAUUUUGUUGUGUGAGCACUAAAUUAUUGUUCUCUUGGAUUCGCCUAUUGUUGGAUUUCAGGUUUGGAGUUUGAUAUAUGUUAAGAUUUCUUUAUAACCCAUGCUUCUUCUCGGGCUUGUGUAACCAUGUUGGUAAUAUAACGUUUGAUUUAUUGCCUAUUUUUAACAUGAUUGUGUGAAAAAAAAUACAUGUAUAUGAAAUUUUAUUUUAUUAAUCUUAUUUGCUAGGAGCCAUAAGAAGCCUUGUUUUGAGUUUUAGUCGGAAUUGAUUUAAUUAAUUGUUUAUGAUUGUCUUCUUGAAACUCCAUGGGUUUUGCUUCUAUUGAGUUUUACUUGCUUUAAUUAAUUGUUUAUGAUUGUCUUCUUGGAACUCCAUGGAUUUUGCUUCUAUUGCGUUUUACUUGUGUAUGAAUAUAUUUUGAUGAAGCCUGAAAGCUAUAGUUUGUAAAUUGUUAAAACUUGGGCAUUUAUUAAUUCUUUUUUCUUUUCUUUUCUUUUUGCAUGAAUUUUAUCUUGGAGUCCGAACGGACUCCUCCCUUUCUCAUUUCGUCAUAGGCCAACAUGACCCACCUUUCGAGUCAAACCUGAAAGAAAAUCUUAAACGAAUUGCAUGGCGUAUGGCUGCAAGAAGGAAACGAGAGAAGAAGAAAGAGUUAAAACCCGUAUUUGAAGCGGCCAAGAGACUUGAAGGUUUUGAUUUUUUUAUUUUGCUUAUGGUGUUUAUUUAUUCAUUUAUUGUAGCCUUUAGUUAUUUAUUUUAUUUACUCAUUCAUUUGUGCCUCAAAGCCAAAGUUGUAAAUUUAAUACAGAUGAAGCGGAUUUUGGGCCAAAAAGGCUCGAAAACAUAGAAUUAGGAAAGCUGAAAAUGAGCCAAGGCCCGACAUUAGAUCAAGACAGGUGCAAGUGGGUCAAAAAACCAAUUGACUUUGGGCCCAAUGACCUAAGUCUUUUAUUUUCUCCCUUUUCCCCUUUUAUAUACUUCUUUGCCUUUUAUUUGUUUAUACUUAGCUAAAAUCCCUAUCAAGUAGUCCAAAAUUAUUUUACACAAAUCGUAUUCUAAAAUCGAUCACUUUUCAACAAUCAUUUGAAGUUAGUCAAAAGACGUUUUCAAACAGUCCGGAUAACUGCAAGUUAGCAGACGUUUUAGGUGCCUAAAACCUUCCUAAAACGUAAAUAGGAACCGCUUACUCAGAAUCUUUAAAAUUUUAAAUGAUUUUUCUAUUUUUGGAUCGUUUAAAGUAACUAUAUAAAGGUUUCUUAAUUCCUUUUCAAAAUUAAGUGGCGACUCUUAAAAAGGUUGACAUUUUCGCAAAACAGAAAUGGCGACUCUGCUGGAGAUUUUUUAACUAGGUUCUAACCAAAUGUUUAAUUUCGUCUUUUGAUUAACUGUUUAAUCGCCUAUGUGUUUAUAUUUUUUGAUUCUGCAAAGUUUAAUUAUCGUAUCUCAUGGCAUAUCCCUACAUUAUUUAAACUAUUUUGGGGUUUCGUGGAUGUCCCGGCCGCUAUUGUUCAAUUUCAAACAACGCGUUGAAAAUACGAUGGUUUAUUAGCACGUGAGUCGUCUGAUGGUUGUUCGUAUUUUCAAACCCAAGUUGUCCACUUGGGAACCUACGUUCAAACUCACUUUAGACACCUAGGAUAGAGCAAAACCAAAAUCCUAUUUCAGGCAUGAGCCUAGGAUGAUCCAAUACACGAGGGGGUAUUGGGCCCAUUAGAAAACUUGUCCUGCGUCUAUUGACCCCGAGUCAAUUACAGACGAAUCACAUUUAUGUAUUGAAUAAAUAUAUGUUUGUUUAAUCCAAUUCAUUAUCCAUUGGGGGUCGGUAUAAGGCUUGUUUUACUUACUUUCGUAUAAGGAUACCUCAAUCGUACACCGAUUGACGAAGGAAUUAAAGCAAGCCAAGCAAGAAAUUGAUUGAUUUGGAUAGUUGCAUGACAUCUAUAGCAUAGUUAUACGGCAAUCGCUUAAUCAUUAACGGAUGUUGCCAAUAACGAGGAGUGGACAAAGCUAAGAGGGCGAAGGCCGAUAGAAGAAGUAUUCAGGAAUUAGUAUUUUCUAUCCCCUACGUGGGACAUCAUUCUUUUUCUCAUGUUAUUUCUCUCUCCCUAAAGGUUGUAUCCCUUUUGUGCGACUUUUGUAGACAUUUAUGUCUUUUAUGUAUAUCUAUGAAAUUGGGGGAUAAUGAAUUGACUUUAAAAAGGC